GAUGAACGCUGGCGGCGUGCCUAAUACAUGCAAGUCGAGCGAACAGACGAGGAGCUUGCUCCUCUGACGUUAGCGGCGGACGGGUGAGUAACACGUGGAUAACCUACCUAUAAGACUGGGAUAACUUCGGGAAACCGGAGCUAAUACCGGAUAAUAUAUUGAACCGCAUGGUUCAAUAGUGAAAGACGGUUUUGCUGUCACUUAUAGAUGGAUCCGCGCCGCAUUAGCUAGUUGGUAAGGUAACGGCUUACCAAGGCGACGAUGCGUAGCCGACCUGAGAGGGUGAUCGGCCACACUGGAACUGAGACACGGUCCAGACUCCUACGGGAGGCGGCAGUAGGGAAUCUUCCGCAAUGGGCGAAAGCCUGACGGAGCAACGCCGCGUGAGUGAUGAAGGUCUUCGGAUCGUAAAACUCUGUUAUUAGGGAAGAACAAAUGUGUAAGUAACUAUGCACGUCUUGACGGUACCUAAUCGGAAAGCCACGGCUAACUACGUG
Molecule: ribosomal RNA, 497 nt
Filed under: uncultured bacterium
Lineage: Bacteria
Description: partial 16S ribosomal RNA
Rfam family: Bacterial small subunit ribosomal RNA
Source: RNAcentral